UGCGGUGUAGCAUAGAGGUAAGGCAUGGGGCUCAUAACCAAAAGGCUGCUGGUUCAACUCCCCUCUGUGG
Megalops atlanticus (tarpon) is the source of this 70-nucleotide non-coding RNA. The record is from the annotation of a GenBank genome assembly. NCBI's taxonomy places the organism in Eukaryota, Metazoa, Chordata, Actinopteri, Elopiformes, Megalopidae.